Molecule: ribosomal RNA, 489 nt
Filed under: uncultured bacterium
Lineage: Bacteria
Description: bacterial SSU rRNA
Rfam family: Bacterial small subunit ribosomal RNA
Source: RNAcentral
GAUGAACGCUAGCGGCAGGCCUAACACAUGCAAGUCGAGGGGCAGCGGGGAGUGCUUGCACUCCGCCGGCGACCGGCGCACGGGUGCGCAACGCGUAUGGAACCUGCCCUUUACAGGGGAAUAGCCCAUGGAAACGUGGAUUAAUGCCCCAUGGCACCUACCAUGGCAUUAUGGUAAGGUUAAAGGCUUCGGCCGGUAAGGGAUGGCCAUGCGUACCAUUAGCUCGUUGGUAAGGUAACGGCUUACCAAGGCGACGAUGGUUAGGGGCCCUGAGAGGGGGAUCCCCCACACUGGUACUGAGACACGGACCAGACUCCUACGGGAGGCAGCAGUGAGGAAUAUUGGACAAUGGGCGAGGGCCUGAUCCAGCCAUGCCGCGUGCAGGAAGAAUGCCCUAUGGGUAGUAAACUGCUUUUGUACGGGAAGAAACCCCAUCUACGCGUAGAUGGCCGACGGUACCGUAAGAAUAAGGACCGGCUAAACUCCGUG